RNAcentral lists this ribosomal RNA (207 nucleotides) under uncultured bacterium. Its description in RNAcentral is "partial 16S ribosomal RNA". It matches the Rfam family "Bacterial small subunit ribosomal RNA", at positions 568 to 774 of the family's 1533-position model. The record is from RNAcentral.
AGCGUAGACAGAGUGGCAAGUCUGAUGUGAAAACCCAGGGCUCAACCCCGGGACUGCAUUGGAAACUGUCAAUCUAGAGUACCGGAGAGGUAAGCGGAAUUCCUAGUGUAGCGGUGAAAUGCGUAGAUAUUAGGAGGAACAUCAGUGGCGAAGGCGGCUUACUGGACGGCAACUGACGUUGAGGCUCGAAAGCGUGGGGAGCAAACA